GAGAGGAAACAACCUCACAAGAACAAAUGUUCAUUAACAAUUUUUGCAAAAGUCCCUUUACAAUGAAAUGUGCAAACUAUUUAUAGGCUAAUAAGUAGUAGCCGAAUGGUCAAACUAAUAACUUAAAGACUAAUUAAAUUCAGCUGUGAAUGCACCAGAAUAAUCUAGAACAAGUCUUUAAUGUGCUAGGACUAAAUUCGGCUGAUGGGAACUCCAUUGGACAGCUUCAUGUGUAAGCAAAGCAUCUUGGAUGAAUGUGUAGUCUUGGGAACUCAAUAGCUUGUCUAGAUUCGGCCAUGGAAGGAAUGAAUCAAUCAAAAAGUGUCUCUUGGCUGAAUAGGUGCUUAGGGAAGUCAUUUGGACAGCAAACAAUUCAUGUAUUUCACCCACAUACAUUCGGCCAUGCAUGAACUAGAAGGGAGUUUGAAUCUGGCCGUACAUGAAAAUGCAAUAAAUGCCUUCAUUCAUGCAUGUGUACCGUCCAAAGCGAAUGUAUCUUCUUAAUCCACAUGCAUGUAAUUAACCUCCCAUGUACAUGAACUUAAUUCCCUCCAAGCAUUGAACCAG
RNAcentral lists this long non-coding RNA (567 nucleotides) under Gossypium barbadense (sea-island cotton). RNAcentral's name for it is "long non-coding RNA (GBAR_LNC005381)". The record is from RNAcentral. Lineage: Eukaryota; Viridiplantae; Streptophyta; Magnoliopsida; Malvales; Malvaceae.